GGCCGAGAGGAAGGGGCGACGGGCUGCAGGGGGCACACUCCGAGGUGGCUCAGAAGCUUCCCGCUUUAAGGCUCGAAGUGCGUCUUGGAGGAACUGGUUCAGCGCCUGAUGGUUCGGGCGACACGUAAACAUUAACACCUAAAGCAGACACCGGGGACGUGAGCGCGCCGGGCGGGCCGAGGGAGUUUCCGUUCCUAGUUUGCAGCAGGUUCUCUCCUUUGCUUCUCGGCUGUUGGCAGACGCUUGAGUUUCUUAGCGGAAAUCCCGGCAAUUUGGGAAACUGUUUAAUGAACAUAUUAAAUAAAAAAAGUCUUAGGUAUUCCAUGUUGCAACAAAAGCCCAUUAAAUGAUUUUACAUCUGGGUUAGGAGGAAGCCACUCCUGGAUCCCUGAUAGAUCCUCCCCAUCCCGUUUCCUUUUAUUGAUGGGACACUUUUAUUUCCCGAAGUUAAAACACACAUUUGAUAGUUGCCAAAAUUGUGGAAAGAGAUCGUUCUCUGCUUUAACUUUCCCUUUUAAUGUGUACAGACUUUUACUUUGAGCCAAAAUAAUGCUGCUGAUGGUCUCUCCCGCCUCCCUAGCCUCCUUCACCCAUUCUUGGGGCAGCACUUUAUAAAAGCUUCGGCUUUCAUUUCUGUUUGGGACUUGUACAUUAGACGUUAGUGAUUCUUUUGUGCUAAUUGGAGAAGACGCCCUAGAGACUGAAGUUGUCUUCUGCAUUUAGGCUAGUUUGGGUGGCUAAUGAGACCUGAACUGUAUUGUCAAAGAAACUGCAUCGAUUUCUGGAAAAUGUCACAGUUGUAUUGGUGUCUCUACCCAUCUUUUAAACGUUAUUAGUGUUUAGAAACUGAUGAAAAGCUCCUAUAUCCAUUAGGGAAAAUUGCAAUUUGUGUCUUUCCGGUGCCUUAAUCUGAUUACAAUUAAAACAGAUGCAUAAUUAAAAUAUAUUAGGGAUAACAGCACGCCUGGCCAAACUUAUUAACCGUCCUGGGGUGUUUCAUGCUCCAUUGAAAUUAAACCAUCCAAAAAGUGAGCACAGAUUUACUUUGACAGCUUUUCAGCAGCCUCUCUGGGCUAUGGAAAGUGAAUGGAUCCCCAGGGUUAGGGCGAGGCAGUGAAUGAACUUAAGCAAAGUGGUUGAUAGUGAGGGGAGGCGAAGACAGAAUCCUCUCCUGGUCGUAAUUAGCCACAUUCUGUACUCUCUGGCGUGCCCAUUUUCCUGCUAAAAGGAGGUUCACGUCUCUUUUAAGAAAUCAUCUGAUAAUAGGUACCAGAACAUCCAGCAAACCCGUCUUAAUGCAUUUUAUGUAGAGCCUAUCAGAGGCUAGUUGAUAGAGAGCCACUGUUAGACAUACAUUUUUUCUUAACUUUUAUGCAGCAUACUGAUUUUAGCAACUACACAACAUGCUCUGAGAAAUGGUCUGUAGGAGCGAGGUGAACUUCUGUUCUCUCCAAUUUUGUGUAAUGGUGCACCUGCUAUUUCCUGCAUAUUGGUGGGAAAAGCCCUUGCUUCCAAAGAUGGGUGACUUUUUACUAAAACCAGCUCAGGGGUCAGUAUGGGCAGUUACUGGCUCUCUUGGGGGCGGUUUGAAGAGUAAGCAUUUAAACCAAGAAUAAAGAGUUUAUUUAAAAAAAGAAACUUAACUAUAGUAAUGCAACCUCUUGUAGAAACUGUGAUAAAUCAAGUGUUCCUAUUAUAUGCCUUUGUUAAUUGCUAUCUAAUCGUUAAGAAAGUACAUAUCAGUAGAACCAUUCUUUAAAAAUCAAAGCUGAAUUUGGAUAUACAUUUUUCUAUAGGUCUAAUUGUUCUUUGCUCUUGAGUCAUCAGUUAGAAGUGUUAGGACUGGACUUUGUAACUUGGAAGAAUGGUGUGAGUGUAAUGAUAAAUUAGUUGUGCUUUGAUGGUUGGCAGUUGUAAGUUUUUCAGAUGCAAUAGGUUAGAGUGUUAAAAUUUGUGACUUCCAUCUUGUAGCUACAUAGGUAAAUUGAGUAUGAUUAUUUGCCCAUAUCAUUUUAUUGAUAGCAUGCUCAAUGUGAUACAUAGUUUAUAUUGAUAUAAUGUUGAGGACCUAUAAGUGUGAAUUAUAUUUUGCUACAAAUUGAAAAGUGUAUUUUACACUGACUUAUUAGCAGAACUCCAUAUGCAAUCACAUUCUUAGAAUGUGAAAUCUUAAAAGUAGCAAACUUUGUUUUUUUUAUCCUAGAAAUUAUGAGACACAUAAAUAGGAGCACUGAACUUAUUUGUUGUAUGCACAGCCUGUUCAAGUGAUUUGUUGCCAAGAUGCAAAGAUUCAUGUUUAAAACGUUGCUUAAACUAGAUCUGUGGAUUCUGCUGCCCCCCCGGGAACUUUUGUGCAAUACAGUUCUAUAAGGAGAGGACAAUGCUGGAAGUGAAGGGAGCAGGCUUAAGGGAGAUGGCUCUUAUUCCUGACUUGCUUCACUAAAUCAUUAUUGCUGUGGUACUUCUCAAAGUUAUCAUUUCUUUUAAAUAUAGUGAUUAAGUUUACUUUAUAAACUAUAUAUAAUUUCUUUCCGUGUUUGAUGUAGCUUGGUUGAAAUUAAAUGGUAACAUGAAACUUUCUUUCAGCAAAAUCAAUUUCUCUAUGGUAAAAUUUAAUAUUUCACAAGUGUUUCUGUGCUAAACUUAAGAAUAUGCCUCUGAUGUGAUGAAACAAACAGUGGAAGAGAAGAAUUCAUAGUAUCUGAUGAAAAAUGGUGUAUGGUUUCAGCUUCAUCCUCACUCCCCUUGCCUUCAAUCUAGUAUUGAAUCUUAAGUUGUGAUUAGAGGAAAAUUGAAAUUAAAAAUAUGCAGUUUUUUUUAAGUGAUGUUGUAUGAUUCUUUAAAGGAUAUUCUCUUAUUUUCUGAAGAAAAUUUGGUGUUUAGGUCAGUGGAAAAACUUGCUGACCCAAACUUCUCUGCUUUCUUAUAUGUUUGUUGAGUUUGACAUGACAUCAUUUUUUCUUAUCCUUUUUAAUAACACUAUUAUGAGUUUCUUAUGGAGAUAACACUAUGAGAGGAGUCAGUUUACUUCAAAGCAGACAAAGGUAAACAAACCAUAACUGUUCCAAACUUCAGAAGUCUGAUUUCCCUUUACACAUGUCAUCUAAUUGGUGACAUGCGCUUUUUAUACAUAGACAAGUAAAUAAGAUAAUGCAACUUUUACAUGCUUUAAAUCCUCACAUGAGUAAAAUAAUGUAUUAGUUUGUAAAGAAAGACAAUUUGCAUGUUUGGAAGUAGAAAAUGUAUUGGUGACUCCUCUGAAAAUUUUUCUUAUUGCCCAUUUUGCAUGUGUUAAACCCAAUGAUCAUUAAUUUUACCUAUAGGUCUCUUAGCAGUAAUUGUGCAGUAAUUUUUUGAAACUUGGAGAAAUAACUACAAGGUAGAAAUAUCUACUAUGGAAUUAAAAAUACAUCAAGCUCUUAAUAAUACACUCCUAGUUAGCUUUUCAUUUGUGUAUAAAUGUAAAUCUCAGUUUUUAGAAACAGUUAAAUUUUUCUUUAUAAUGAGUUUGAUUAAUGUUACUUAAAAUGAGGAAAUGAAAUUUAAGACAUAUUAACACUUUUUUUUAAAAAAAGUGCAUUCUUUCUAAAGAUAUUCAACUAUUAUUUUUGCUUGAUCUUUUAAUGUUAUUGUUAGUUUGGAUUUUUGACCUGGUAUGAUAGGAAUCCCUUGUGAAAUAAUCACUCUGUUAACUUAUCUUUAAAAAGUUCUCUCUAAUAGACUUGUCUUUGAGCAAUCUGACAUUGUUAUCUUAAGAUUCCAAUAUGUGUAACUACUGAAGGCAGGCCUGGUAUCAGUAAAAAGCAUGUUUAGAAAGAAUUACUAUAUAAUUAAGUAAGAGAGAAGCUCUCUUUGUGUAGGUGAUUGUCUUAUCAAGUUAUUAUUAUAAGAAACCACUGUGUACAGGAGUAUUGUCUUACUCUUCAGUUUCCUUCCCAGUUUGCACUGGAAUACAAGUUAAGAGUUUAGAAAUUAUUUUAGGUGGCAUUUCAUUUUUUUUUUUUUUUUUUUUUUUUUUUUUUUUUUCCCUAAGCAUCUAGAUACUGCAUAGAGAACAAAGCAUUUCAUUUUCUAGCUAAAUUUUGGUUGUUUAGACAAAUUUAUUUGGAAAGAGUUCAUUUUGGUUCUUUGAUUAAGUAUAUCUCAUCAGUAAAUUAAAAUGAGGUGAAGUCAGUAUGAACUGCUUUACCUCCGUUGAGCCUGUCACAUGAUGUUUAUCAUAGUAAUUGACCCACAUACAGGCAUUGAAUGGACAUGUGCAAAUGCCGUAGGGAAAAUUGCCAUCUGUCUCUUAGUUGUUUUCAUACACACAUAUACAUGCACGAUCAUUAAUUUACAUUUACAUUGGUGAUUCUAUGGCCUGUUUUGUCAUUUGCACUUAGUUCUUCAAUGCUAAUGUGCCCCUAUGGUAAUACUAAACUCUCUUCUGCUGUAAUUUUGAAAUAGCAACAACCUUUUGGAUUCUGACAUGCAUUAGGAGCACAUUCAGUUUGUCUUUCUAAUCGUUUUGUUGCUGCUCAGCACACUGAAAGCAAUUUUUAAAAAUACCUGUAGUGGUACAGCUGUUUUUCAUAGGCUAAAGGUGCAUUAGCUCUAAAGCAGGCACCUUUUUAAUAUUAGGAAAGGACAAAGUUUACCCUUAAGGCCCUCGAAAAAUCUGUGGCUGACAAACCUACUUUCUUACAACUUUAUUAUACGCAUCUGAAUUUUGUGCCUAAAAUUUAUUUUACUCAUCUAAAUUUAUUAUACUUAUCUAAAUUUAUACUCGAAUAAAUAUUGGUUCUCUCUCAGGAGCAUAGUAUUGUAUCAGCUUUGGAUACUUAUUUUAAUGGCUUCACAAAAGUGACAGGUGUAGCAGCCUCCAAGGAAAGGAACAGUGGGUUAUUGAAUGUAAAGACCUCUCCUCUAUAAAUAGCUGACUUCAUUUAGGAGCUUAGUUUGUAACAAAAGUCGAGGGAUAUUUCAGCAGGACUGCAUAGCUUCUAUUUUUCUUUGGGUGAAAAAGGCAUACUAUUGUGAAUAAUUGCUGGUGUAAUUGCAUACAGUGCUAAAUAGUUUCUUUGAAGAUAUGAUUUGUAUGUGCUUUUGAGGAAUAAACUGUUAUAUUCCAUAAUUCGCUGAUUAUGAAUAUUACUAGAUAUGGCAUUCUUUGUAUAUGUGGUGCGUAACACAACUACAGCAUUGCUCACCUUGUUCACAAGCAUCACACCAAACAUGGUGCUUUCUUACCUGUACUUCAGCAGGUACUGUACAGGGUUUGAAUCUGGGAGUCUGAUGAUAGAUCUAUAAACAUGCUGAUAGGUUGACCUUUGGCUGGUGGAAUUCCACUUGAAUUUGUCUCUUUAUUGUUACCUUUUAAUUUUUUUACUCGUGCUUAUUUUUAUUGAUACUCAUCCUUAAAAUUUUUCAUUGGGACUCUGUUAGCUUCUUUUCUAAAACAUUCACUCCUGAGAUUCAUGAUUGGUACUUUGGCUUGGCCUUAUUUUGGGUCUGUCCUUACUGGUGCUUUAUUCAUACACGCGGAAGCUUUGGAAUGCCUUUUCUAAAUGCCUUUCCUACGCUCAGUUGUUUUUCUUCGAUGUCUGAAUUCUUUGGACUGAGUAGAUUUGCCUCAACUGGUCAUAGGGAUUAAAGAUUUUUGCUUCAAAGAUUUUUGGCCUUAUUUUCAAGGCAGUUAAUUCCAAAAAGAUGCGGCUCUACCAAAUUUCUAUCGCGCCCUCUUCUCUUUUUUCCCUGUUUACCUUUUCAAUCACAUUUGUCAGUUUUUUUGAUACCCAAGGUUUCUAAAAUAAAAGGUAUAAAUGUUUGUUUCAGUCUUUUAGAAGCAUUUUGGGAUUGGUUUUUUGGGUUUACAACUUUGACUUUUUUUUUUAAUGCAGGUAAAUGGGAAACAAUUAAGGAAACUUAUCUAUGUAAACCAGAGAAUUUUGAAAAAGGUGGAAGUACUGAAAUAAUUGUUUUCAGGAUUCUACAUUAAAAGUUUAUUAUCAUUUUUAGAGUAGUUUAUUUUAUUGAAGGACAUUCAUAAGUUCCGUUAAUUUGAAAAACUAGAGAUUAAUGUUUUAAAGAUGAGAUAGAGGUUUUGAUUUAUGCAUGCCUAAAAAAUUAAUAUGGAAAAGAGAUGAGAAUCGAAAAUAUGAACUUCGGAUUUAGAUUCCACUUUUGUGGAAUUAAAUGAAAUUAAAUGUGUAUUUACUUUCUUCGAAGGUUAUUUCUAUACCACAUGGCUUGAGGGUAGUGCCACUGUAUCCAUUUUAGACAUACCUUAGUAUUUGGCAGAGGAGAUGCUAUUUGCUUAUGAUGAUUCGAUAUAGGCUUUUGUUUCUUGAUUUCUUUGCUGGGGCAUUUUGUUAUGGUGGAGUGAGACCUGGUAUGAAGCGUGGCACAGCAUGUAGUUAUAGUUAAGGUGACUGUCUAAAUUACAUGAUUUCUGAAAUGAAACACACGUUAGUACCCUUGGAAUAGCAGCUGUAUGUUAGGUAUUGCUUUGUCUUUGAUGAUUAAUCUUCAUUUUCGUGAAAUUUAUUUUAAAAGUAUUCCUCAGGAGCUUUAAGUU
Molecule: long non-coding RNA, 6556 nt
Organism: Sapajus apella (tufted capuchin)
Lineage: Eukaryota; Metazoa; Chordata; Mammalia; Primates; Cebidae
Exons: 2
Source: RefSeq, a predicted model, not a curated record